Molecule: long non-coding RNA, 2521 nt
Filed under: Podarcis lilfordi (Lilford's wall lizard)
Lineage: Eukaryota; Metazoa; Chordata; Lepidosauria; Squamata; Lacertidae
Source: RNAcentral
AUCUGAAGUCCAGGCAGGUUUCCAAAGAGGGAAAUCCACAUUGGACCACUGCUUUGUGCUGAACUUUCUGCUAUGUAAAUACAUCCAUAAUUUGAAGCAAGAAUUAUAUGUUGCUUUUAUCGAUCUAAAGUCAGCUUUUGAUACGGUCCCAAGACACGCAUUGUGGCAAAAUUGGAUUUUAACAUCCAUGCCAACACAAGGGGCCGCUUGGGAGUUUGUGGAAAGCAUGGCCUCCACGGGGCUGUCCCUGAAUAAGUUUGGCCCAACUCAUAGUUGCGGACAUGCCUUAGACCUGGUGUUCACCUCUAUUGACGUGGGUGAUCUGACACUAAUUAAAAGCGAAACCAAAGAAGUGCCAUGGUCAGAUCACUUCCUGGUGCAACUGGACUUCUCCGCAACCCUUCCCCUCUGCAGGGAGGUGGGACUGAUUCAGAUGGUCCACCCCUGCCACUUAAUGGAUCCAAAUGGUUUCCAGAGAGUGGUAGGGGAUGUUUUAUCCCAUGUUGAUGGCCUUUCAGCUGAUUCCUUGGUGGACCACUGGAAUGCGGAGUUAACCAGGGCUAUCAACUAUCCACCACCCCACCAACUGCUAUGUCAUAUUCGAAACUGCUUUCUCAAUUCUCUUCCAGAGGGGUUUGCCCAACUUGGAGCUGGUGUUUGCAAAAUACAAGUCCAAUUAUCCCUUGGGAACUAGUUAUACAGUUCCCAUGGACCCUGGCCAUGGAUCUCUCAAGUUUUUGACAAGGCUGGGCAAAGAGGGGCUUACUCUGCCUAUUUGCUGGUGAUGAAGAAAGAGGUAAUCACAUAUGGUUUUGGUAACAAGCUAUCUUUCUCUGAUCUCUGGGUUCUGCACCUUUCUCUAAGGUAGAUACAAGUCUGGGAACAAAGGUUUAUGGAGGGAUGCCUGGUCUACCUGGACUCCGAUCACACCUACAAGGAGUCGGGCAUUGCAGUGGCAGCAGUAUAGCAACUGUUAACUCAUUUAAGGUCAGAGCUUUAUUGGCCAAUUGCCACAGUUAAUUAACCUCAAUCUCCAUGAUGAAUUUUCAUAGCUAAACCUAGCUAAUUCCUCUCUUUUUUAAAAAAUUGGGGUUAUUUUAUAAUUAAAAAAGUAAAUUUCUCAAUACAGAAAAUAACAUCACUAGGGAUUCCCCUUUAUAUGUUUGUUUUCUAUUCAAGGGUAAGACUAGGCAUAUCAAUGAAGGUGAAAGUUUAUGGAAAGUUGUGUGUAUAUUGUCCAUUGUUUGUGUUGCAGUGUUAAGGUAUUAUUAACCUUUGUUCAUCUCCAGAGAGAUGUUGCGUAUUCAGUCAGAGGACAGGGACAGCUGUUAUUGGAGACAGGUUCACCUGCUUAAUAAUUUCUGCUUGUCAUGCAGCUGUAAAAGGCUCAAGUGAUAUUGGGAUGCUUUAGAGAAGGUUUUUGCUUUAAAGGUGGUCUUGAGGAUAAUUUUAGUGGAGAAGAGGGAAAACUUGGUGAACAGGUAAAAUACAGGAGAACUUCAGAACUGACUAAGAGGGGAGAAAUAAAAAAUGUAAUUUCAUUACUUUUGACUUUAAUUUGUUGUUAUUCCUUGUAAUCUGCAUAACAAUCUAAAUCCGAACUAGAGUUAUACAUAAAUGGAGAUUUUACAUUACAAACUUUGAAUUUGAGCAUAGUGGGGGUUUUUUAAAAUAGAUGUUCUUUAAAUGUGUUGGCAGUUUCAUAUCUGUUUAUUUAUUGUUGUCAAGUGUAAAUUACCAAAUGCCCUAAACUCCCACUUACUAAAUAUUGUCAGAGUUCCAAUAAUGCUUGUCAAAUACUAAAUCCAUUCAAUGUCAGCUAUAAAAUGCCAUACUGCAUGUCAGCUAUCAAUUUCUGUCAGUUAGAGCUGCAAACUUAAAUCAUUUUAAGCAGUAGAUUAAUUAUCUAAAACUUUAGCCUCUAAUCCUACACACAUUUAUCAGGGAAUCGCUGUUGAAUUAAAGGGGAUUUGCUUCUGAGUAGACAUGGAUGGAAUUUCACUCUUAGUUGAUUAAUCAGGUGGGCCCGAUGAAGGCCAAUUUUAAUUGAAAGGGCCAACAGCUUGAAGUGUGCUUGUUGUUUUUUUGGCAUUAUUUUGACUGUGGUAUUAAUUUGACUGCGGUAUGUUAUUGUAACAGAGAAUGGGAGACAAAAUAUUUAAAAUGAUGGUACCUUCUGACAAUGCAAAACUGUGCAAAGAAAUAUAUGGUUUACUGGUAGUAAUCUUUGUGUAUUAAAUAGCAAAUUAUCUCACUCUGGUGAAUAUACUGGGGUUAUGGUAAUAGGAAUUUUUAUUUAAGAGAUUAAUCAGAGGAAAUAUUCUAUACAUAACUGACAAUUUUACAGAUAUUCAAGACUGGAUUCCAACAUCAAGAAUCAUUGGAUUUCAAAUACUGAUGCCAAAAUAGAAGAUCGACUAAUCAGACACAUUAGUAAAUCUUAUCUUUCAUGCCUUCUUAGGUACCCACAAUAGUCCAUCAUGUGCAAAUCCCCAUGUAUCAUUUUUUUCAUAAGACAGCC